AAUUCCAAAUGAGAUUCUUGAUGAAUGUGGGUUGUUGUCAUUGAGCCUGGUUAGUUGUGCCCCUUAUUAAACAUCUCUGCACGGCCCUGGAGAGCUGACAGUAAUGUUGCAGUUGAAAUUACCCACCACUUAAAAAACCUGAAUCCCUUUUUACUCCUCUUCUUUAGGGCUAGCUAGAUGGACACCUGCAAUUGUUCUAGUGUUUUGCCAAGAAUAAUUACAGUUUUUUUCAGUCGCUAACAAGCGUUUGUCCAAACAGUUGUCACAUUUGCAAAACUCUAAACACAAUUAGCACAGCAUCGGUCUGUUGUGGCCAUACCAUUCACACAUUUCAUGUCGUGUUCACCCAAUAUGCAGUCAGUGAACACAUUUCCACAAUGCUUACAUUUUCUUAACAGACAAGCUAUACCUCCCAACAAAAUUAUGGACUGUUUUUGUAGUAUCUACGAAUGUUAACACACAACAUCCCACAAUAGCAAAAACAAUAUUCCAAACCUUAGAUACAGUAUAAAAACCUCUGCUUCUGCAAUGAUAUCAGUACAAAAACAAUAUCAAUAUCAAAAAUAUAUCUCAGCUGAUAAUAAACAAACAAUUGAAUAAUUGACACACAGCUGAUUUAUGUUGGGUAAAUUGGGCCAACCACAGCUUCUUCCAUUCUGGCUUAGACUCAGUGGGGUUUAUAAGGCAAGACCUUGAGGAGUGAUGUUUUUGGAAACAAAAAAAAGACAAACACUGUAUUGUCUGGUUGAGGAAGAGUAAGAGCAAGGGGCCCAGGGAGAAGAGCAGGCCCAAGGAGAGGGCAAGGUAGAGGUGUAAGAAUGCGUGGUGGUGGCAUUCCAAGGGCUGCAAGAACAGUAGUCAGUGAUGAAAUUCGUGCCACUAUCAUUGACCAUGUAAUCAACCAUGGUCUUUCACUAAGAGAGGCUGGUGAAAGAGUGCAGCCCAAUUUGAGGCGGUCAACGGUUGCCUCCAUUAUACGCACCUUUCAACAAACCAACAGGUAAGUAUUGCAUUUUACAUGGAUUGUUUCUAUUCUCACUUGUCAAUAUGGUCAUACAGUAAUGCAUAUGUUGAAUUUUUUGUCUUUCUAAAGAAUGCAACGUCUUCCACCCUCUGGGGGAAGAGGAAAGCUCCUCAGUAAUGAUCAGGAGCUUGCCAUUGUAGAAAUGGUUACUGCAAAUAAUGCAAUAAAACUGCGUGAAAUUCAAACUAGAAUUGUGGCGGACCAUGAGAUAUUUGACAAUAUCGAUAGAAUCAGCCUCACAACCAUUACGCAGACAUUGUCCAAACACAGAGUGCGGAUGAAGCAGCUUUUGUCAUGAGCCGUGGUGCGCGGGCACGAAAGGAUCCAGGCGCAGACUCCGCACUGACAGAAAAACACUUUAUUGUAACAACGAAAGGCGACCCGGGGAAACUAGAGAGCGAAACAGGAAACUAAAAAACCGGGGAAACAAUGACACGAGGAAGCUGGGAUCGGGAUGGUGGGGGGCUGCAAUAGAAAGGGGAGAUGAUUACUAGGGAGCCAGGAAACGGGGAAAACACAUCAGGACUGAGUUAGAGUAGGGGGCUUACGAUAGAACGGGACCGUGGGAGCUCGGGAGGGAAGUGUGGCAGUCCGUGGGGGCAGGAAGUCCGUGGAAAUGGUGAGUGGGCCAGGUGAGCACCGCGAGAUCCAGUUGAGCCGGAGGACAGGCAGGUAGCAGACGCCGAGUAGAAACCUGGACAGAAGUAGGCAGGUUAAACACAGUUCCAAACCAGCAGAGAAUGCACGCUUUUCGUGGAAGUCUGGUUACCACUGUGGGGAUGACUAACGGACUGGCGUGGAGCAUCCGUCAGCGCCGGGUUAAGUAGAUCUCCGUGUAGUCACCGUGAUGGAGAGCAGGUGUGCUGGUGAUGACCCAGCCCGGGGGUGUGGCUACCCGAGCAUCACGCAUUCCACAGACACAGGACCACGGACCAUGACAGCUCUACACUGUUCCCUUUGAGAGGAACAGUGAGAGGGUCAAGGAGCUACGACGACAAUAUGUCCAGAGAGUUAUGGAAUUGGAGGCCAACCAGGCCCCUCAUGAAUUCAUAUACAUCGAUGAGGCAGGAUUCAAUCUGGCCAAAAGGCGUCGACGUGGACGAAAUGUAAUUGGAAAAAGGGCCACAGUUGAUGUGCCAGGACAGAGAGGGGCAAACAUUACCAUGUGUGCAGCAAUUGCAAAUGCAGGAUUACUCCUUCACAGAUGUCAGGUUGGACCCUAUAAUACAGAGCGCUUGCUUGCCUUUCUCAAUGAUCUCCACCAGCGCCUGGUUCCAGAGCAGGGUCAGGAGGGUGAAAACAUGAGGACCUUUGUAAUUACCUGGGACAAUGUGGCUUUCCAUCACUCGCAAGCAAUAACAACAUGGUUUGAAGUCCACCCAAGACUGGUAAGUCUCUUCCUUCCACCCUAUUCACCUUUCCUCAACCCCAUAGAGGAGUUCUUUUCUGCAUGGAGGUGGAAGGUUUAUGACCAUCAGCCACAUAACCAGAUGUCCCUCCUUGAAGCCAUGGAUGCUGGCUCCAGGGACAUCACAGUUGACGAUUGCCAAGGGUGGAUCCGACAUACCAGGCGGUUUUAUCCCAGGUGCAUCGACUUGGAUAACAUCAGAUGUGAUGUUGAUGAAAACAUGUGGCCUAACCCUGAAGAUCGCAGAGAUUAGAUGCAAAUUUUUUGCCUUUUUUUAGCCCCCCUCCCCCUACCCCCCUUUUUAUCUUGGCUUUUUGCUGUUGUUUUUUUGUUCAGAAUGCUCUUGUGUGUUUCAUGGAUAUUUUGUUCACUGUAAGCAAUACUGUAAAACUUUCUCUGUCCUAUCAUACCGUGUUUCUACUGUACCUCCUGUAGUAAACAGUAAAGAAACAGAAACUUGUUUGCUUUUUACUGGAAUGCUUUCGAAUGUGAACAUUACUGUACAUGUGGACAUACAGUUACCAACCAAGACAUUUCUGGUGUCAAAAUGGUGGAUUGCAUGUUUCGCAUGCAAAUACCUGUAAAACUGAAACAUAAAAGUCUAUGCAGUUUUUGUAAUGUCAAUAAUAGCCAGUAUUUUGAAACCUGGUGUACUUUGAUUGACUGCAUGUACCUUGUGAAGUGAAAACAAGUGUUAUUCUUUGACAGACUAAUUUCAUUUUGAGUCAGAUUUAUAGUGUUUUUGUACAGUUAGUGUGUGCAGAGAAAGAUGUGUUCUAUUUUGAAAUGAAGAGUUAAUAUAUAUUUAACAAAAUGUAUUUUUGAGAAGAAAAUUAUCCAUUUGGCCAAUUGUGUUUUGUAGGUGUGAGUCUGUGUUAAGGGUUUAGAAAAAGUAUCUGAAGUAUGGGUAGGCGCUUGUUAGCGAUUGAAAAAAACUGUAAAAUGUGGGACCUUAUUUGAGAAAACUCAAGAAAAUAAGUGACAUUCAUAUUAUAUUAUAGAAACCAAAAAUAUUGUCAUAGCUUGUUUUUUGUCUCCUAUACUUCUCAUCAAUGAGAAUGUUGCACAAAUAAGUCCAUCCUUAUGUCAGAUAUAUUAUAUCUUCAUUACUGUCACAGUUGGUUGUUUUCUUGCUUUGUUUUUUGGUGUUAUUGGUGGCACUAGUUUUAGAAGUGCUGUCCUGAAUAGUUAUAUCAUUUAAUUUUUCUUUUUUAGGAAUAGAACACUGGUGAUAUAUUAAGUUAUGACAAACAUUUUCCAGAUCACUAGUUAUGGGUACAGUAUAUAGAUGUUUAUUUGUACUCAUAGCAUUGCAUACUACUACAUUUAUUUAACACAUUUAAACAAUGACUCUAAUAAAUAGAUAAAUAAAUAUAUUUGUAUUUAAAACAUUAUGUAAACAAUUACAUUUUUAAAGUCAC
This is a long non-coding RNA of Astatotilapia calliptera (eastern happy), 3853 nucleotides long. The record is from Ensembl. NCBI's taxonomy places the organism in Eukaryota, Metazoa, Chordata, Actinopteri, Cichliformes, Cichlidae.